GCGAUCAAUAAUCGCUCGCUCCCGCUUACACUCCAGGCGCUGGCAGAGCUCCAACACAACCCAGGCGAGCCUCGCCAGUCGGCUGAGACACUAUGUUUAGCCAGAGAAUGUCGACGGGUUUUUUGACAACAACCACAACAACCACAGCAACAACAGCAGCAACAAAAAAUGAAUGUAUUGCUCCAAAGAAGCAAGACAUUAAUAAUUUCAGUUUGUGUCUUGCACAUUUGAGGUUAAGGUACGCCAAUGUCACACUCAUUCAUUCACAUUCGUUGCGAGGCGUCGCGAGCAACAGCAGCAGCAGCAGCAGCAACUGACAGCAGCAAUCGUCAGCAGCAGCAGCAACGGCUUCUUUCUUUUUUGGCAAGUCAUUGCGAAAGUGACCCAGUUCUGGCUGCGUCGUCAUCAUCCAUCUACCUGGGAUGCAUUUCAUUGAUGCAAAACUGCACGCGUGCACUAUGGAAUACUUCCUGGACCACCGACCGACCAAGCGACCGACCAACCGACCGACCAUUUAUGGUCUUGGAUAAAACGCAUUUUAAUUUCGGUUAUAAAAACUUUAAGCAAUUUUCGCUUGACGCCUUUCAUUGUGCAUUCCGUUUAACCCUUUCGCUGUUAAAGUGUCUUUCUCUUUGUGCCAAACGUAUGUGUGUGACUGUGAGUGUAUGUGUGUGUGUGUGAGUGUGAGUGUGUGCGUGUGUUUGUACUCACUCAUCACGGUCAUAACUGUUUUAUGGUCACGGUAAUUUGCGACCCACAUUACAGAGUUUUCAAUGAAAAUCUUAGCUCAAUUAUGUGUUACCUGAAAUUUGAAAAUGCGGGAAAAUCCAUACUGAAUGCGCUUGUGCCUUUAGUACGAGUAUUUUGCCAACAUUCAUAAUAUAUGAAAGCCCACUAAUUCAUUGAGCAUUUGUCAGAGUUUAUCGCAAUGUUCGUUGGUCUUAACAACGAUCGUAUGUCGGAGUAUUCAUAUCACAUGUCUGUCAUAUCAAAGUUCUUAGAGUAUUCAAAUCAGCUUUACCAGGCCUGGCAACAAAUAUAUUUUGCUAUUAAUACAAUAUACUUAUUAAUGCACUUUUCCUAAUCACAAUAUCAUCAUAGUUGUACCAUAUGAAUUAUAAUAGAAAGUGAAGUUCAUGUUAUUAAUGUUCUAAGAUCUCCGUUGCUAAUAAUAACAAUAUUGAAU
Long non-coding RNA from Drosophila innubila, 1186 nucleotides. RefSeq lists it as uncharacterized. The record is from RefSeq and is a predicted model, not a curated record. Lineage: Eukaryota; Metazoa; Arthropoda; Insecta; Diptera; Drosophilidae. The transcript is spliced from 2 exons.